RNAcentral lists this ribosomal RNA (253 nucleotides) under uncultured bacterium. Its description in RNAcentral is "partial 16S ribosomal RNA". It matches the Rfam family "Bacterial small subunit ribosomal RNA", at positions 524 to 776 of the family's 1533-position model. The record is from RNAcentral.
GACGAACCGUCCAAACGUUGUUCGGAAUCACUGGGCUUAAAGGGCGCGUAGGCGGGCUGCCAAGUCAGGGGUGAAAUCUUUCGGCUCAACCGGAAAAGUGCUUUUGAUACUGGCAGUCUCGAGGGAGGUAGGGGUCGAUGGAACUGGUGGUGGAGCGGUGAAAUGCGUAGAUAUCACUAGGAACGCCGGUGGCGAAAGCGAUCGACUGGACCUUUUCUGACGCUGAGGCGCGAAAGCCAGGGGAGCAAACGGG